UGGGGAAUAUUGCACAAUGGGCGCAAGCCUGAUGCAGCCAUGCCGCGUGUAUGAAGAAGGCCUUCGGGUUGUAAAGUACUUUCAGCGGGGAGGAAGGGAGUAAAGUUAAUACCUUUGCUCAUUGACGUUACCCGCAGAAGAAGCACCGGCUAACUCCGUGCCAGCAGCCGCGGUAAUACGGAGGGUGCAAGCGUUAAUCGGAAUUACUGGGCGUAAAGCGCACGCAGGCGGUCUGUUAAGUCAGAUGUGAAAUCCCCGGGCUCAACCUGGGAACUGCAUCUGAUACUGGCAAGCUUGAGUCUCGUAGAGGGGGGUAGAAUUCCAGGUGUAGCGGUGAAAUGCGUAGAGAUCUGGAGGAAUACCGGUGGCGAAGGCGGCCCCCUGGACGAAGACUGACGCUCAGGGGCGAAAGCGUGGGGAGCAAACAGG
This 429-nucleotide ribosomal RNA is filed under the name Fusobacteriota bacterium. RNAcentral describes it as "Fusobacteria bacterium partial 16S ribosomal RNA". It matches the Rfam family "Bacterial small subunit ribosomal RNA", at positions 355 to 776 of the family's 1533-position model. Lineage: Bacteria; Fusobacteriati; Fusobacteriota. The record is from RNAcentral.